AUAAGUGACCAGAACAUGUUGGGAAGCAUGGCCAUAGCGGGUGACAGCCCCGUAUGGGAAGCUUUGAAGGACGUAUCAAGUAGGGCGGGACACGUGAAAUCCUGUCUGAACAUCGGAGGACCACCUUCGAAGGCUAAGUACUCCUUACUGACCGAUAGCGAACCAGUACCGUGAGGGAAAGGUGAAAAGCACCCCGACGAGGGGAGUGAAACAGUACCUGAAACCGAACGCCUACAAUCAGUCGGAGCUUGACU
Molecule: ribosomal RNA, 254 nt
Filed under: Alexandrium margalefii
Lineage: Eukaryota; Dinophyceae; Gonyaulacales; Pyrocystaceae
Description: partial Bacterial large subunit ribosomal RNA
Rfam family: Bacterial large subunit ribosomal RNA
Source: RNAcentral